Long non-coding RNA from Dipodomys spectabilis (banner-tailed kangaroo rat), 1145 nucleotides. RefSeq lists it as uncharacterized. The transcript has 3 exons. The record is from RefSeq and is a predicted model, not a curated record. NCBI's taxonomy places the organism in Eukaryota, Metazoa, Chordata, Mammalia, Rodentia, Heteromyidae.
CUGUUUGGGAGGCAGCAAAUCUAUGUAUAAUGCUAAACCCUGCUUUAAUGGUUUUGGAAAUAAUUUGAAACAGCUUAACAGGAUGUAGUUAAGUUUGUAGUAUUAGAAUUUUGUUUGUUUGUUUUUUAAAGCCGUGUCACCUGAAAAAUCAAGGAAUCCACCUAGUUAGAUGUUGCUUUAUCUGACUUUAGAGACUGGCAAUAUUUUGUACUGGCCUUGCCUGUGAUGACUGCUGGGAAAGUUGAAGGAACAACCUGGUUACUUAAAGUCUCCGCUGAUGAGACCCCAAUGACUUCUUAAUAACCUUCUCAAAGUCAUUAAGCCCUAAAUCUGAAUGUAAGUAAUUUUCUCAUAUCCUUCCCAAGAAUCAGUGUGGAAGGACCAUUUGGUUGGAAUUAGUUGCACAGAGCAUUGGACUUUGCAUAAAUAGUGGACCAUUUCAUUCAGUAUAGAUCCCAGUUUGUGGGUAACCAGCUUCCAUAUAAGGAUGGUAUCCAUUUGGUUUAAAAAAAAAAAUCAAGAGUUAAAAAUAUUACUCUUAGCAUUUAACAAAUUCUUUAGUUUUCUUGUUUUGUAGUCUACGUUUUACCAGGUAGGCAGAGAAACUCCUAUAGACUAUUCUUGUCAGUUAAUACUUCAUCUGUUAAAAGUAAUGGAACAUUUAGCCCCAUUUUCAUAAGAGCUACUACCUAAUUUGGCUUUAAGGUUUGAGGUUGGGAGUACUUGGACAUUUGUAUCAUAGUCCAAGCAGUAAUUAAGGGAAUCCUAAAUUCAAGAAGGUGAUCUUCCUUUGGAAAAGAGAAACCCAAUACCUUAUGACAGGAAGACAUAUUUAAUGCAAGGAGAAAACUAAGACUUAGACAUAGAGUUACUUUCCUUUUGCAUAUUUUACAUUAUUAUAUGUGUGUAUCUGGUUAUACUGUUAAGUUUCCCAUGGUCUGUUUCCCCUACAAGUAGAACAGAUAGCUCCCCUGUACAUGUGUGGUAGUUCUGGCCAGUUCAGCCUUGACUUGGCUACUUUGAACUUGUAGUUGAUCCCAAAGCUUUCACUGACAGUCUCUGUUAAACUUAAGUGUUAUAGUCUUUGUUCUAGUAAAAUCUCUGUAAUGUUUAAUAAAGACUAAAUAAAAAGACUGUAUAAUUAA